ACAAGAUGCCUCAGAAGAGCUACAUGCUGCAGAUUUUGUUUCCAUGCUCAAACACAGCCUGCACAAACUGCUUGAAGACUCUGUCCAUUGAAUUCAGAUGGCCAAAAGUAUUUAGAGGUGAAUGGCUAGAACAUUGAUCCACUGGGUAACCUACAAAAGAACCCUUGAUAAAAGAAAAAUAAAGAACCAUCCUACUGCCUGUCUCCACUCACCUUGGCGAUGCUACUGAGGUAAUAGCAGGCGAAGGCGGCGCUGAAGCCCAGCACCAGGGACAAGCCCACACUGGAACCGAAGAGCCCCACCGGCACCUGGAUCUCCAGAGAGUCUGCCGUCUAAUUCAGCAAAAGGCAGAAGUGAAUUGGGAAUUCAGGGUUACACACUCAGGACAAAGGACUGCAACUUUAAACUUGUCUCUUGGCAAACCAUGUUUAGUCCUUUCCCUAAUCACUGAGGAAGAAUGAGAUUAGCCUGUUGUUCGCUGGGGAUCAUGUCACACAUUUCAUUUUGACACCCACCUCUGAAUGAUUAGCCCCAUCACUACUAUGAUGGCAUACAGUCUGCUGUCUUUUGCCAUAAUUUCAGCCAGCUAAAAAUCCUGCUCCCUCCAGGUCCCUAAGAAUUUAAUCUUGCUCUGCAGCAGAAGGAGAUGGUGUCCCAGUAUCUUCUCCCCUGCCCAAUGGUUGUCUUUGCUGAAUAAAAGGAGAAGUUAGACUUCUUGGAGGAGGAAUCAAAGAACCAAGAUUUGGAAGGACACUAUGUAUUUAAAAGCAUUGAACUCCUCUCACUCAGGCACAAGGAAGACCUCCUCAACCGUUUUAGCCAAAGGGUAGUAAAAAGUAUAUGCUUUAGAUCAUCCUCAGCAAGAAACACCAGCUGUACAUUUGCUGAUAAUGAAUAUCUAAAAAGUAGAAUCAAUGAGAUGAGAAAAUUAUGACCCUAGGGCCAUCAAUGGAUCCUCAUAAAAUCAAAGACCCACAAUUGGAAAGAGAAAAUGUUCUGGUAAGUUGCCAUUCAUGACUCUUAUGAAUUUAUGUACCAUUGAAUGGCUGCAAAAUGCCCCAUUGUAAUGUAGUAAGCUCUGUACAAGCAAAAUUCACUCUCAGCAUUAAGACAUCCAAGCAGUCUAAGAAUGACACACCUUCCUGGCAUGAUAUGUGUUAAUCUUUUGAGGCUUCCACUGCAGAAGUGGAACUCAAACUCUGUGGUAGGGAAUGGAUGCACAGGGGGCAUAUUUUCACAUUAAAGAAGCUAUUCCUUAUGAGUAAAUACUUUGGAGUCUUAGUAUGGUGGAGGAAACAGUGAGUAAUGGGAUUGAUGCUAUAGUCGUUUAGAAGUUUUGUAUCACUGCUGUGCUAUACUGUGAGAACGCUGUAUGCAAGAAAAGUCAGGAAAUGUUUUCAUGAGCUCUUCUACCGCUGGCUUGUAAAGGAAGUACAGAAAGGGAAAUAAUAACCUAGUUAUGAGGGAAGCGCAGCUACCUUUUAGCAGUUAUUUUUUCUCUUCUGACUAAUCACUUCUCUUUCAAAUCCUGCCUAGGAUGCUUAUUACUCAGCAUAGCACAUCCUUGUAAGGACAGAUAAGAACAAUGAUAAUAUCAGUCAGUCUUUUUUUAGUUUUAUCCUCUGUCAUUCACAAUAUGAUUUCUUAUUAGAACAGAAGGGGAAAACAUUAUUUAAGAUGGGUAAACAUCAACUUGGCAUGUGUGGAAUUAACCCAAGAAUAAUCUUUAGAGUGAAAUAUGUGUGUGUGUAGAUUAAUUAAGAGCCAUAUUCUAGAUCUUUGUGCAAAGUCUGGGUUUUGUGCAGAGGAACUUCAUGGGAAGCCAGAGUUGGGUUUCCCCCCAGUGUUGGAACCAUUAGCAUAGCUACUAUGGUAGCUUCUGGGUUGCAGUAGUGCCUGCUGCAUCCCCACCUACCUUGGGGCUUACAGAGGCACUAGCUCCAUUGCCUUCUCUGUCCUACCACUCCUCCAACACACACACAGUUCCAUCUUCUGCGCUGCUGGGCUUGGUCUUACACUGGGUGUGUGUGUGUGUGGGGGGAUGCGUUGAUCUAAGAUACGCAACUUCAGCUACGAGAAUAGCGUAGCUGAAGUCGACGUAUCUUAGAUCGACUUAGAAUCACUUACUUCGUGUCCUCGCAGAGCGGGAUUGACAGCCGCCACUCCCCCGUUGACUUUGCCUCCACCUCUCACCAAGCUGAAGUUCAGCAGUCGACGAGAGAGCGAUCAGGGAUUGAUUUAUUGUGUCUACACUACAUGCGAUAAAUCGAUCCCCAAUAGACUGAUCACUACCCGUCGAUCUGGCGGGUAGUGUAGAUGUACCCUUGUAGAGCUAGAUCUCCAUAGUGAGCAUGGAAUAUGUAGAAUACUGUCAGACCACACCUCAGUCUACUUUGACUGCAUAAUGGAGCUGCAGGGUUCCAUUGCCUUUGGAGAUUUGGCCCUAAAUAUGCAUGGAAAUUCUGAUAGGUGUUCAACAUUAAGGCUGUGGUGAAGUGUUUCUGCUAUUUGGAAGCACGAGGUCCUCUGGCAAACAAAGCUAGUGAACUUGUUAUCCAGUCAUGCGCUUCGUUGCCUAUUAGACUUGUCAUAAAAUGUGAGUAAAAAAAAAGAAUGGAUCCACCAAGCUCAGGAGAUGUAAACAUUUCCUGAGCUUGUAAUCAAGCAGAUGUGAAAAAAUUAAUCUUCGCAUAGUGAUGAUCUCAUGUAAUCUUAAUCUUUUCUCUGUUUUAAUCUUGCUUUGAACAUGAGUUUCAUGGUGUGGAGGGCAAAUGUGAGAUCGAAGCCAUUAAAUGUCUGGAAGAAACCCUCACAAGGGGGAAGCAAUAUGUUUUGUAUUUCUGACCCCAAUAUUGUGAUACAAAUAGCUACACAAAAGGCAAUUCCUAUAUUUGUGUGUUGUGAUAUUAAAGGAGAGUGGGUCUUCAUAGCCUACAUUUCCUUAAUGGAGUUUGUCAACCUCAUCCAAUUAAAUCUGUAGUUCCCAAGCCCCAUUUCUGAUGUAGCUACACUUGACUCUCUCUAUCACCAGCAUUCCUUACAUUACAUCUUGCACAGGUGUCUUCUCCUUUUCUCUGCCUCUCUCUCAAAGCUAUUAUUUCUCCUUCUCUCUCUGUCUUUGCAGUUCUUUCGCCUUUUUUUCCAGCUCUGUCUCUGUUCUCUUUUACCUUCUUUCCCUCUCUUCCAUUCACCUCUGAUCUCUCCACUUAUUUCAUUUUCCUAGUUUCACUCUGCUUUUUCUCUUUCUCAGAGCACAGUUGACAACAUGUAAACAUUUUUGCCAGGAACAGUCCUUCUUAAUAAGUAGGGUUCUGCUGCCAUUAAUCAACACCCCCCUCCCCCCCCGCAGCCAAUGGUGGGCAUGUUGAGGAAUUUUAGGUUAUUUUAUUUUUAGAAGGUGAGAAUCAAAUUGCCCCAGGCAGUUGGCUGAUUUGAAAAAUCAUCCCUUGAAAACAAUGUUGUUCCCUCCCACAGCUCACCAUUCUCCAGACAGAGAGAGAGUCUGAGCUGCCGGUGGCAGCCGGCAGCCCAGGGUGUCCCCCGGGUUAGGACGCCUCCGCAGCAGCUGGCACCCCAGGGUGUUCCCCGGG
Molecule: long non-coding RNA, 3590 nt
Organism: Gopherus evgoodei (Goodes thornscrub tortoise)
Lineage: Eukaryota; Metazoa; Chordata; Testudines; Testudinidae
Exons: 5
Source: RefSeq, a predicted model, not a curated record